UGGGGAAUAUUGCACAAUGGAGGGAACUCUGAUGCAGCGACGCCGCGUGAACGAAGAAGGCUUUCGAGUCGUAAAGUUCUUUUAUAUGGGAAGAUAAUGACGGUACCAUAAGAAAAAGCCCCGGCUAACUACGUGCCAGCAGCCGCGGUAAUACGUAGGGGGCUAGCGUUGUCCGGAAUCACUGGGCGUAAAGGGUUCGCAGGCGGAAAUGCAAGUCAGGUGUAAAAGGCAGUAGCUUAACUACUGUAAGCAUUUGAAACUGCAUAUCUUGAGAAGAGUAGAGGUAAGUGGAAUUUUUAGUGUAGCCGUGAAAUGCGUAGAUAUUAAAAAGAAUACCGGUGGCGAAGGCGACUUACUGGGCUCAUUCUGACGCUGAGGAACGAAAGCGUGGGUAGCAAACAGG
Molecule: ribosomal RNA, 403 nt
Filed under: Fusobacteriota bacterium
Lineage: Bacteria; Fusobacteriati; Fusobacteriota
Description: Fusobacteria bacterium partial 16S ribosomal RNA
Rfam family: Bacterial small subunit ribosomal RNA
Source: RNAcentral